CCUACGGGGGGCAGCAGUGGGGAAUAUUGCACAAUGGGCGCAAGCCUGAUGCAGCCAUGCCGCGUGUGUGAAGAAGGCCUUCGGGUUGUAAAGCACUUUCAGCGGGGAGGAAGGCGUUAAGGUUAAUAACCUUGUCGAUUGACGUUACCCGCAGAAGAAGCACCGGCUAACUCCGUGCCAGCAGCCGCGGUAAUACGGAGGGUGCAAGCGUUAAUCGGAAUUACCGGGCGUAAAGCGCACGCAGGCGGUCUGUCAAGUCGGAUGUGGAAUCCCGGGCUCAACCUGGGAACUGCAUUCGAAACUGGCAGGCUAGAGUCUUGUAGAGGGGGGUAGAAUUCCAGGUGUAGCGGUGAAAUGCGUAGAGAUCUGGAGGAAUACCGGUGGCGAAGGCGGCCCCCUGGACAAAGACUGACGCUCAGGUGCGAAAGCGUGGGGAGCAAACAGGAUUAGAUACCCGUGUAGUC
This 464-nucleotide ribosomal RNA is filed under the name uncultured Klebsiella sp. RNAcentral's name for it is "bacterial SSU rRNA". It matches the Rfam family "Bacterial small subunit ribosomal RNA", at positions 338 to 795 of the family's 1533-position model. The record is from RNAcentral. Lineage: Bacteria; Pseudomonadati; Pseudomonadota; Gammaproteobacteria; Enterobacterales; Enterobacteriaceae.